This 2902-nucleotide ribosomal RNA is filed under the name Klebsiella pneumoniae. RNAcentral describes it as "23S ribosomal RNA". It matches the Rfam family "Bacterial large subunit ribosomal RNA". The record is from RNAcentral. Lineage: Bacteria; Pseudomonadati; Pseudomonadota; Gammaproteobacteria; Enterobacterales; Enterobacteriaceae.
GGUUAAGCGACUAAGCGUACACGGUGGAUGCCCUGGCAGUCAGAGGCGAUGAAGGACGUGCUAAUCUGCGAAAAGCGUCGGUAAGGUGAUAUGAACCGUUAUAACCGGCGAUGUCCGAAUGGGGAAACCCAGUGUGAUUCGUCACACUAUCGUUAACUGAAUACAUAGGUUAACGAGGCGAACCGGGGGAACUGAAACAUCUAAGUACCCCGAGGAAAAGAAAUCAACCGAGAUUCCCCCAGUAGCGGCGAGCGAACGGGGAGCAGCCCAGAGUCUGAAUCAGCUUGUGUGUUAGUGGAACGGUCUGGAAAGUCCGACGGUACAGGGUGAUAGUCCCGUACACCAAAAUGCACAGGCUGUGAACUCGAAGAGUAGGGCGGGACACGUGGUAUCCUGUCUGAAUAUGGGGGGACCAUCCUCCAAGGCUAAAUACUCCUGACUGACCGAUAGUGAACCAGUACCGUGAGGGAAAGGCGAAAAGAACCCCGGCGAGGGGAGUGAAAAAGAACCUGAAACCGUGUACGUACAAGCAGUGGGAGCACCUUCGGGUGUGACUGCGUACCUUUUGUAUAAUGGGUCAGCGACUUAUAUUCUGUAGCAAGGUUAACCGUAUAGGGGAGCCGCAGGGAAACCGAGUCUUAACUGGGCGUUAAGUUGCAGGGUAUAGACCCGAAACCCGGUGAUCUAGCCAUGGGCAGGUUGAAGGUUGGGUAACACUAACUGGAGGACCGAACCGACUAAUGUUGAAAAAUUAGCGGAUGACUUGUGGCUGGGGGUGAAAGGCCAAUCAAACCGGGAGAUAGCUGGUUCUCCCCGAAAGCUAUUUAGGUAGCGCCUCGUGAAUUCAUCUUCGGGGGUAGAGCACUGUUUCGGCUAGGGGGUCAUCCCGACUUACCAACCCGAUGCAAACUACGAAUACCGAAGAAUGUUAUCACGGGAGACACACGGCGGGUGCUAACGUCCGUCGUGAAGAGGGAAACAACCCAGACCGCCAGCUAAGGUCCCAAAGUCAUGGUUAAGUGGGAAACGAUGUGGGAAGGCACAGACAGCCAGGAUGUUGGCUUAGAAGCAGCCAUCAUUUAAAGAAAGCGUAAUAGCUCACUGGUCGAGUCGGCCUGCGCGGAAGAUGUAACGGGGCUAAACCAUGCACCGAAGCUGCGGCAGCGACACUAUGUGUUGUUGGGUAGGGGAGCGUUCUGUAAGCCUGCGAAGGUGACCUGUGAGGGUUGCUGGAGGUAUCAGAAGUGCGAAUGCUGACAUAAGUAACGAUAAAGCGGGUGAAAAGCCCGCUCGCCGGAAGACCAAGGGUUCCUGUCCAACGUUAAUCGGGGCAGGGUGAGUCGACCCCUAAGGCGAGGCCGAAAGGCGUAGUCGAUGGGAAACAGGUUAAUAUUCCUGUACUUGGUGUUACUGCGAAGGGGGGACGGAGAAGGCUAUGUUAGCCGGGCGACGGUUGUCCCGGUUUAAGCAUGUAGGCUGAUUAUCCAGGCAAAUCCGGAUAAUCAAGGCUGAGGUGUGAUGACGAGGCACUACGGUGCUGAAGUAACAAAUGCCCUGCUUCCAGGAAAAGCCUCUAAGCAUCAGGUAACAUCAAAUCGUACCCCAAACCGACACAGGUGGUCAGGUAGAGAAUACCAAGGCGCUUGAGAGAACUCGGGUGAAGGAACUAGGCAAAAUGGUGCCGUAACUUCGGGAGAAGGCACGCUGGUGUGUAGGUGAAGUCCCUGCGGAUGGAGCUGAGACCAGUCGAAGAUACCAGCUGGCUGCAACUGUUUAUUAAAAACACAGCACUGUGCAAACACGAAAGUGGACGUAUACGGUGUGACGCCUGCCCGGUGCCGGAAGGUUAAUUGAUGGGGUUAUCCGUAAGGAGAAGCUCUUGAUCGAAGCCCCGGUAAACGGCGGCCGUAACUAUAACGGUCCUAAGGUAGCGAAAUUCCUUGUCGGGUAAGUUCCGACCUGCACGAAUGGCGUAAUGAUGGCCAGGCUGUCUCCACCCGAGACUCAGUGAAAUUGAACUCGCUGUGAAGAUGCAGUGUACCCGCGGCAAGACGGAAAGACCCCGUGAACCUUUACUAUAGCUUGACACUGAACAUUGAGCCUUGAUGUGUAGGAUAGGUGGGAGGCUUUGAAGCGUGGACGCCAGUCUGCGUGGAGCCAACCUUGAAAUACCACCCUUUAAUGUUUGAUGUUCUAACGUUGGCCCCUUACCGGGGUUGCGGACAGUGUCUGGUGGGUAGUUUGACUGGGGCGGUCUCCUCCCAAAGCGUAACGGAGGAGCACGAAGGUUAGCUAAUCCUGGUCGGACAUCAGGAGGUUAGUGCAAUGGCAUAAGCUAGCUUGACUGCGAGCGUGACGGCGCGAGCAGGUGCGAAAGCAGGUCAUAGUGAUCCGGUGGUUCUGAAUGGAAGGGCCAUCGCUCAACGGAUAAAAGGUACUCCGGGGAUAACAGGCUGAUACCGCCCAAGAGUUCAUAUCGACGGCGGUGUUUGGCACCUCGAUGUCGGCUCAUCACAUCCUGGGGCUGAAGUAGGUCCCAAGGGUAUGGCUGUUCGCCAUUUAAAGUGGUACGCGAGCUGGGUUUAGAACGUCGUGAGACAGUUCGGUCCCUAUCUGCCGUGGGCGCUGGAGAAUUGAGGGGGGCUGCUCCUAGUACGAGAGGACCGGAGUGGACGCAUCACUGGUGUUCGGGUUGUCAUGCCAAUGGCACUGCCCGGUAGCUAAAUGCGGAAGAGAUAAGUGCUGAAAGCAUCUAAGCACGAAACUUGCCCCGAGAUGAGUUCUCCCUGAGACUUUAAGUCUCCUGAAGGAACGUUGAAGACGACGACGUUGAUAGGCCGGGUGUGUAAGCGCAGCGAUGCGUUGAGCUAACCGGUACUAAUGAACCGUGAGGCUUAACCUU